This is an RNA transcript of Gorilla gorilla gorilla (western lowland gorilla), 664 nucleotides long. It is a transcript of the gene named variable charge Y-linked pseudogene, with no coding region annotated. The record is from RefSeq and is marked validated. The transcript is spliced from 2 exons. NCBI's taxonomy places the organism in Eukaryota, Metazoa, Chordata, Mammalia, Primates, Hominidae.
AUACACGGAGGCCAGGCAGCGUGGAGUUAGUCCACCGUUGCGAGUCAUUGAGCCUCGGAAGGUGAGUCCAAAGCCGAGAGCCUCAGGACCUCCGGCCAAGGCCAAGGAGACAGGAAAGAGGAAGUCCUCCUCUCCACGGAGCACCAGUAGCCCAAAUAAGAAGACUACCAAGGUGGCCAAGAAGGGAAAAGCAGCUCGUGGAGGGAGAGGCAGGAAGAAAGGGGCUGCGACAAAGAAGGCAGCUGCGACAAAGAUGGCGGCCUCGACAAAGAUGGCGGCCGUGACGGCACCUGAGGCGGAGAGCGGGCCAGCGGCACCCGGCGCCAGCGACCAGCCCAGCCAGGAGCUGCCUCAGCACGAGCUGCCGCCGGAGGAGCCAGUGAGCGAGGGGAGCCAGCACGACCCACUGAGUCAGGAGACGGAACUGGAGGAACCACCGCGUCAGGAGACCGAGCUGGAGGAACCACUGAGUCAGGAGACCGAGCUGGAGGAACCACUGCAUCAGGAGACCGAGCCGGAAGAACCACCGAGUGUGUGGACGGCCGAGUACUUCCGUAUCUCUGAGAGCAGAGACUAAGUUCAGGCCCAGCCGCCAGACCUCAGAGAUCUCACCAGCGGGGUGUUUGCCAUUCUGAUGAUAAUAAAAUGAAUGUGUUGCAAAUUG